GACGAACGCUGGCGGCGUGCUUAACACAUGCAAGUCGAACGGAAAGGCCUCUUUCGGUGGGUACUCGAGUGGCGAACUGGUGAGUAACACGUGAGUAACCUGGCCUUGACUUUGUGAUAAGUUCAGGAAACUGGGGCUAAUACCGGAUAGGGGCUCCUGCUGCAGGGUGGGGGUUGGAAAGUUUCGGCGGUUGGGGAUGGACUCGCGGCGUAUCAGCUUGAUGGUGGGGGAGUGGCUUACCAAGGCUUUGACGGGUAGCCGGACUGAGAGGGUGACCGGCCACCUUGAGACUGAGAUACGGCCCAGGCUCCUACUGGAGGAAGAAGUGGGGAAGAGUGAUCCAGGGGUGGAAGCCUGAUGCAGCAGCGCCGUGUGCGGGAUGACGGCCUUGGGGUUGUAAACCGCUUUCGCUCAUGACGAAGCUUUGUGUGACGGUAGUGGAUAAAGAAGCACCGGCUAACUACGUG
Molecule: ribosomal RNA, 467 nt
Filed under: uncultured bacterium
Lineage: Bacteria
Description: partial 16S ribosomal RNA
Rfam family: Bacterial small subunit ribosomal RNA
Source: RNAcentral